RNAcentral lists this ribosomal RNA (1209 nucleotides) under Staphylococcus arlettae. RNAcentral's name for it is "bacterial SSU rRNA". It matches the Rfam family "Bacterial small subunit ribosomal RNA", at positions 30 to 1219 of the family's 1533-position model. The record is from RNAcentral. Lineage: Bacteria; Bacillati; Bacillota; Bacilli; Caryophanales; Staphylococcaceae.
UUAAGGGGGCGUCGGCGUCCUAUCAUGCAAGUCGAGCGACAGAUAAGGAGCUUGCUCCUUUGACGUUAGCGGCGGACGGGUGAGUAACACGUGGGUAACCUACCUAUAAGACUGGAAUAACUCCGGGAAACCGGGGCUAAUGCCGGAUAACAUUUAGAACCGCAUGGUUCUAAAGUGAAAGAUGGUUUUGCUAUCACUUAUAGAUGGACCCGCGCCGUAUUAGCUAGUUGGUAAGGUAAUGGCUUACCAAGGCAACGAUACGUAGCCGACCUGAGAGGGUGAUCGGCCACACUGGAACUGAGACACGGUCCAGACUCCUACGGGAGGCAGCAGUAGGGAAUCUUCCGCAAUGGGCGAAAGCCUGACGGAGCAACGCCGCGUGAGUGAUGAAGGGUUUCGGCUCGUAAAACUCUGUUAUUAGGGAAGAACAAACGUGUAAGUAACUGUGCACGUCUUGACGGUACCUAAUCAGAAAGCCACGGCUAACUACGUGCCAGCAGCCGCGGUAAUACGUAGGUGGCAAGCGUUAUCCGGAAUUAUUGGGCGUAAAGCGCGCGUAGGCGGUUUCUUAAGUCUGAUGUGAAAGCCCACGGCUCAACCGUGGAGGGUCAUUGGAAACUGGGAGACUUUGAGUGCAGAAGAGGAAAGUGGAAUUCCAUGUGUAGCGGUGAAAUGCGCAGAGAUAUGGAGGAACACCAGUGGCGAAGGCGACUUUCUGGUCUGUAACUGACGCUGAUGUGCGAAAGCGUGGGGAUCAAACAGGAUUAGAUACCCUGGUAGUCCACGCCGUAAACGAUGAGUGCUAAGUGUUAGGGGGUUUCCGCCCCUUAGUGCUGCAGCUAACGCAUUAAGCACUCCGCCUGGGGAGUACGACCGCAAGGUUGAAACUCAAAGGAAUUGACGGGAACCCGCACAAGCGGUGGAGCAUGUGGUUUAAUUCGAAGCAACGCGAAAAACCUUACCAAAUCUUGACAUCCUUUGACCACUCUAGAGAUAGAGUUUUCCCCUUCGGGGGACAAAGUGACAGGUGGUGCAUGGUUGUCGUCAGCUCGUGUCGUGAGAUGUUGGGUUAAGUCCCGCAACGAGCGCAACCCUUAAACUUAGUUGCCAGCAUUUAGUUGGGCACUCUAGGUUGACUGCCGGUGACAAACCGGAGGAGGGUGGGGGAUGACGUCAAAUCAUCAUGCCCCUUAUGAUUUGGGGCUACAC